AACCAGAAGGCGCAAUGAAAGUGAAGGCACGGUCGCCGUGCUGAGGUGAGAGCCGUCCUCGAUGGCACAUCAUCGACCGAUCCCAUCCGCUCCCUCGUGGUGCGGCGGGAUUCGAGUAAGAGUGUACCUGUUGCGACCCGAAAGAUGGUGAACUAUGCCUGAAUAGGGUGAAGCCAGAGGAAACUCUGGUGGAGGCCCGUAGCGAUUCUGACGUGCAAAUCGAUCGUCAAAUUUGGGUAUAGGGGCGAAAGACUAAUCGAACCAUCUAGUAGCUGGUUCCCUCCGAAGUUUCCCUUAGGAUAGCUGUAGCCCGAAGCAGUUUUAUCAGGUAAAGCGAAUGAUUAGAGGUAUCGGGGAAGAAACUUCCUCGACCUAUUCUCAAACUUUAAAUAGGUAAGAAGUCCGACUUGCUUGAUUUGAAGCCGGACACAGAAUGCUGGGUUACUAGUGGGCCAUUUUUGGUAAGCAGAACUGGCGAUGCGGGAUGAACCGAACGCCGAGUUAAGGUGCCAAAGUCGACGCUCAUCAGAUCCCACAAA
This 539-nucleotide ribosomal RNA is filed under the name Ircinia ramosa. Its description in RNAcentral is "eukaryotic LSU rRNA". It matches the Rfam family "Eukaryotic large subunit ribosomal RNA", at positions 705 to 1218 of the family's 3401-position model. The record is from RNAcentral. Lineage: Eukaryota; Metazoa; Porifera; Demospongiae; Dictyoceratida; Irciniidae.